This 500-nucleotide ribosomal RNA is filed under the name uncultured Pseudomonadota bacterium. RNAcentral describes it as "bacterial SSU rRNA". It matches the Rfam family "Bacterial small subunit ribosomal RNA", at positions 355 to 846 of the family's 1533-position model. Lineage: Bacteria; Pseudomonadati; Pseudomonadota. The record is from RNAcentral.
UGGGGAAUAUUGGGCAAUGGGCGAAAGCCUGACCCAGCGACGCCGUGUGGGCGAUGAAGGCCUUCGGGUUGUAAAGCCCUGUGAGGUGGAAAGAAGGGCCGAGAGGUUAAUACCCUUUCGGCUUUGACGGUACCACCAGAAGAAGCACCGGCUAACUACGUGCCAGCAGCCGCGGUAAUACGUAGGGUGCGAGCGUUAAUCGGAAUUACUGGGCGUAAAGCGUGCGCAGGCGGUCUCGUAAGACAGGUGUGAAAUCCCCGGGCUCAACCUGGGAACUGCGCUUGUGACUGCGAGGCUGGAGUGUGGCAGAGGGAGGUGGAAUUCCACGUGUAGCAGUGAAAUGCGUAGAGAUGUGGAGGAACACCGAUGGCGAAGGCAGCCUCCUGGGCCAGCACUGACGCUCAUGCACGAAAGCGUGGGGAGCAAACAGGAUUAGAUACCCUGGUAGUCCACGCCCUAAACGAUGACGACUAGUUGUUGGGGUAGAAGUACCUUAGUAA